Molecule: ribosomal RNA, 778 nt
Filed under: uncultured Neocallimastigales
Lineage: Eukaryota; Fungi; Neocallimastigomycota; Neocallimastigomycetes; Neocallimastigales
Description: partial large subunit ribosomal RNA
Rfam family: Eukaryotic large subunit ribosomal RNA
Source: RNAcentral
CAUCACUACGCUAGAUGCAUAUCAAUAAGCGGAGGAAAAGAAACUAACUAGGAUUCCCUCAGUAACGGCGAGUGAAGCGGGAAGAGCUCAAAUUUGAAAUCUUCAGGGUUCUACCUUGACGAAUUGUAGUUUAAAGAAGUGUUUUCUGUUGGAGUUUUGGUAAAAGUUCUUUGGAAUAGGACAUCAUAGAGGGUGAGAAUCCCGUAUUUGACCAUUAUUUCCAGCUGUGUGAUACACUUUCAAAGAGUCGGAUUGUUUGGGAAUGCAGUCCAAAAUGGGUGGUAAAUUUCAUCUAAAGCUAAAUAUUGGCGAGAGACCGAUAGCGAACAAGUACCGUGAGGGAAAGAUGAAAAGAACUUUGAAAAGAGAGUUAAACAGUACGUGAAAUUGUCAAAAGGGAAGCGUUUGACACCAGUGUUGUUUUCUCGAAAAUCAAUUAAAAAUGGUGGGAUGUUGUGUUGUAUUGACUUUAUCAGCUUUCUGCACUUUUUUUCCUAUCUUUUUUAAUGCACUUUUCGUUUAACAAGUCAACAUCAAUUUCUUUUGUUGUAAAAGAGUCAUUGGAAGGUGGCUUUCAUUUUCGGAUGAAAGUGUUUAUAGCCUUUGACCUCUGCAAUCGGAGAGAUUGAGGUCUGCAGCGUAGAUCCUUCGGGGUUAGAUACAUUUGUGCUAAGUUAUAGCUUUUCAUAGACAACUUGUUGACUAUGAUUAAGUCAUGUAGCUUACUCGCUUAUGCUAUUUUACCUACGCUUAGGAUGUUGAUAUGCAUGACUGAUAU